UGACCCAGCGACGCCGCGUGAGGGAUGAAGUCCCUCGGGAUGUAAACCUCUGUUGAGGGGAACGAUUAUGACGGUACCCCUCGAGGAAGCCUCGGCUAACUCCGUGCCAGCAGCCGCGGUAAUACGGAGGAGGCAAGCGUUGUCCGGAAUCACUGGGCGUAAAGGGUGUGUAGGUGUCCUGAUGGGUCAGUUGUGAAAUCCAACGGCUUAACUGUUGAAGUGCAUCUGAAACUAUCGGGAUUGAGGACAUGAGGGGAGAGUGGAACUCGCGGUGUAGCGGUAGAAUGCGUGGAUAUCGCGAGGAAUGCCGAUGGCGAAGGYGGCUCUCUAGUAUGUUCCUCGUAUGAGGAGCCGAAUAAUUUUAUCUUCGGGUUAUGAUCAUUCGGUCCUGACACUGAAACACGAAAGCUGGGGGAGCGAACGGGAUUAGAUACYCCGGUAGUCCCAGCNUUAAACGAUGUACACUUGGCAUGUGYUUUUAUAGUACGUGCCGUAGGUAACCUGUUAAGUGU
RNAcentral lists this ribosomal RNA (512 nucleotides) under uncultured delta proteobacterium. RNAcentral describes it as "bacterial SSU rRNA". It matches the Rfam family "Bacterial small subunit ribosomal RNA", at positions 384 to 867 of the family's 1533-position model. The record is from RNAcentral. Lineage: Bacteria; Deltaproteobacteria.